Molecule: ribosomal RNA, 1490 nt
Filed under: uncultured Bordetella sp.
Lineage: Bacteria; Pseudomonadati; Pseudomonadota; Betaproteobacteria; Burkholderiales; Alcaligenaceae
Description: partial 16S-23S ribosomal RNA intergenic spacer
Rfam family: Bacterial small subunit ribosomal RNA
Source: RNAcentral
GGUUCGAUCCUGGCUCAGAUUGAACGCUGGCGGAUGCUUUACACAUGCAAGUCGAACGGCAGCACGGACUUCGGUCUGGUGGCGAGUGGCGAACGGGUGAGUAAUGUAUCGGAACGUGCUCUUAGUAGCGGGGGAUAACUACGCGAAAGCGUAGCCAAUACCGCAUACGCCCUUCGGGGGAAAGCGGGGGACCUUCGGGCCUCGCACUAUUAGAGCGGCCGAUAUCGGAUUAGCUAGUUGGUGGGGUAACGGCUCACCAAGGCGACGAGAUCCGUAGCUGGUUUGAGAGGACGACCAGCCACACUGGGACUGAGACACGGCCCAGACUCCUACGGGAGGCAGCAGUGGGGAAUUUUGGACAAUGGGAAACCUCCUGAUCCAGCCAUCCCGCGUGUGCGAUGAAGGCCUUGGGUUGUAAAGCACUUUUGGCAGGAAAGAAACGGUACGGGAUAAUACCCCGUGCAACUGACGGUACCUGCAGAAUAAGCACCGGCUAACUACGUGCCAGCAGCCGCGGCAAUACGUAGGGUGCAAGCGUUAAUCGAAUUACUGGGCGUAAAGCGUGCGCAGGCGGUUCGGAAAGAAAGAUGUGAAAUCCCAGAGCUUAACUUGAACUGCAUUUUAACUACCGAGCUAGAGUGUGUCAGAGGGAGGUGGAAUUCCGCGUGUAGCAGUGAAAUGCGUAGAUAUGCGGAGGAACACCGAUGGCGAAGUGCAGCCUCCUGGGAUAACACUGAUGUCAUGCACGAAAGCGUGGGGAGCAAACAGGAUUAGAUACCCUGGUAGUCCACGCCCCAAACGAUGUCAACUAGCUGUUGGGGCCUUCGGGCUCCUGGUAGCGCAGCUAACGGGGCAGGAAGUUGGACCCGCCUGGGGAGUAUGGUCGCAAGAUUAAAACUCAAAGGAAUUGACGGGGACUCGCACAAGCGGUGGAUGAUGUGGAUUAAUUCGAUGCAACGCGAAAACCUUACCUACCCUUGACAUGUCUGGAAUCCCGAAGAGAUUUGGGAGUGCCUGCAAGAGAACCGGAACACAGGUGCUGCAUGGCUGUCGUCAGCUCGUGUCGUGAGAUGCUGGGUUAUCCCGCAACGAGCGCAACCUUGUCAUUAGUUGCUACGAAAGGGCACUCUAAUGAGACUGCCGGUGACAAACCGGAGGAAGGUGGGGAUGACGUCAAGUCCUCAUGGCCCUUAUGGGUAAGGCUUCGACACGUCAUACAAUGGUCGGGACAGAGGGUCGCCAACCCGCGAGGGGGAGCCAAUCCCCCAGAAACCCGAUCGUAGUCCGGAUCGCAGUCUGCAACUCGACUGCGUAGUCGGAAUCGCUAGUAAUCGCGGAUCAGCAUGUCGCGGUGAAUACGUUCCCGGGGUCUUGUACACACCGCCUGUCACACCAUGGGAGUGGGUUUUACCAGAAGUAGUUAGCCUAACCGUAAGGAGGGCGAUUACCACGGUAGGAUUCAUGACUGGGGUGAAGUCGUAACAAGGUAG